UUCAAAAUUAAAUCUAUCGGAUUAUCUACCCAUUCCCACGUCCUUCGUAUUAAUGAGCAAAGGACAAUGAUCUGAGAAAGAAUGUGGGAGGUGUCUCAAAGAAUACCGUGGGAAUUACUGAAGCCAACCAUCAUUAGCAACCCCUCUAUCAAUACGUUCCCUAAUAUUUUGUUCAACAGUUUUACCUCUUUCUCAUGUGAACCAAGCUCCUGAAAAACCUAUAUCUUCCAGUCAACAAGCUUCCAAAGUCUUACGGAAAACCUCCAUUCGAGCCUUCUCCCUUAGCAAACCUCCUUGUUUUUCAUGAGCAAAAAGAAUAUCGUUAAAGUCUCCCCCAACCAGCUAUGGUAAAGAGUUAUCCCUCCCUAAUCUUCGAAGUAACUCCCAAGUCACCGAUUUAUUUCUAACCUCUGGAGCCCCAUAAAACCCUGUGAAUCGCC
This 440-nucleotide long non-coding RNA is filed under the name Gossypium barbadense (sea-island cotton). RNAcentral's name for it is "long non-coding RNA (GBAR_LNC012657)". Lineage: Eukaryota; Viridiplantae; Streptophyta; Magnoliopsida; Malvales; Malvaceae. The record is from RNAcentral.